RNAcentral lists this ribosomal RNA (781 nucleotides) under Halomonas eurihalina. RNAcentral's name for it is "bacterial SSU rRNA". It matches the Rfam family "Bacterial small subunit ribosomal RNA", at positions 659 to 1440 of the family's 1533-position model. Lineage: Bacteria; Pseudomonadati; Pseudomonadota; Gammaproteobacteria; Oceanospirillales; Halomonadaceae. The record is from RNAcentral.
AGGUAGAAUUCCCGGUGUAGCGGUGAAAUGCGUAGAGAUCGGGAGGAAUACCAGUGGCGAAGGCGGCCUUCUGGACUGACACUGACGCUGAGGUACGAAAGCGUGGGUAGCAAACAGGAUUAGAUACCCUGGUAGUNCACGCCGUAAACGAUGUCGACUAGCCGUUGGGGUCCUCGAGACCUUUGUGGCGCAGUUAACGCACUAAGUCGACCGCCUGGGGAGUACGGCCGCAAGGUUAAAACUCAAAUGAAUUGACGGGGGCCCGCACAAGCGGUGGAGCAUGUGGUUUAAUUCGAUGCAACGCGAAGAACCUUACCUACCCUUGACAUCGUGCGAACUUUCCAGAGAUGGAUUGGUGCCUUCGGGAGCGCACAGACAGGUGCUGCAUGGCUGUCGUCAGCUCGUGUUGUGAAAUGUUGGGUUAAGUCCCGUAACGAGCGCAACCCUUGUCCCUAUUUGCCAGCGAUUCGGUCGGGAACUCUAGGGAGACUGCCGGUGACAAACCGGAGGAAGGUGGGGACGACGUCAAGUCAUCAUGGCCCUUACGGGUAGGGCUACACACGUGCUACAAUGGCCGGUACAAUGGGUUGCAAAGCGGCGACGUGGAGCUAAUCUCAUAAAGCCGGUCUCAGUCCGGAUCGGAGUCUGCAACUCGACUCCGUGAAGUCGGAAUCGCUAGUAAUCGUGCAUCAGAAUGGCACGGUGAAUACGUUCCCGGGCCUUGUACACACCGCCCGUCACACCAUGGGAGUGGACUGCACCAGAAGUGGUUAGCCUAACU